RNAcentral lists this long non-coding RNA (701 nucleotides) under Selaginella moellendorffii. Its description in RNAcentral is "long non-coding RNA (SMOE_LNC001829)". Lineage: Eukaryota; Viridiplantae; Streptophyta; Lycopodiopsida; Selaginellales; Selaginellaceae. The record is from RNAcentral.
CUGUGUCUACAUCUUACAAAAGAGACACCUCAAGAAGCAUCUCUUCAAGAAGUUAUGACAAUUAACGGAAAAGGGCCACUAUGGCAGAUGUUGUUGUGGAUAUGCCAUGGCUUGCGCACAGGGACGUCACAAAGUUUGGGUACUCCAAGCCUUGAUUGUCUUCCUCACCCUGAUGAUGCUAGGCUUUAUUCUGACAUGACCCUACAGUGAGAUCUUAGAUAAAGCUACUCUAAUGCACACACAUGCCAAGACAAUGCCGAGUGUUUGGCAUGGCAUUACAGUGGCUGUAGAAUCCCACGCCAUAACUGCUGCUAAUAGAAAACAAAUAUCACAAACUCUUGCUGAAAAUCGUCAAGAAAAGAACCUACUUGAAAAGGGGCUGACUGUGGCGUUUGCUAAAUCGCCCAAGUCUGAAGCAAAGACUGUUCUUGGCCCGGCUUGAUCAGACUCCCGGUCACGAAUCAUGGAGCUAGAUGUUCCUUUUCCCACAUGAUCUGCCACAAAAUGAGCAACACAAUGAACUCUCCACAAUGCCCAAAUCAAGAAUGAAAUUGCUACUCUUUACCAAGGCUGUUGCUACCACCUCCAGUGCUAGCUGUAGCUGAGAGGAGAGACAUGGCCAGAAGAGAGGAGAGCCAUGGCAAUAACCUCGUGAGUACCAUAUCCUAAACAAAUGAAGUAAAAAUUUUCUUAAGUGUUCA